GGGUUGUGAGGUUAAGCGACUAAGCGUACACGGUGGAUGCCCUGGCAGUCAGAGGCGAUGAAGGACGUGCUAAUCUGCGAAAAGCGUCGGUAAGGUGAUAUGAACCGUUAUAACCGGCGAUGUCCGAAUGGGGAAACCCAGUGUGAUUCGUCACACUAUCGUUAACUGAAUACAUAGGUUAACGAGGCGAACCGGGGGAACUGAAACAUCUAAGUACCCCGAGGAAAAGAAAUCAACCGAGAUUCCCCCAGUAGCGGCGAGCGAACGGGGAGCAGCCCAGAGUCUGAAUCAGCUUGUGUGUUAGUGGAACGGUCUGGAAAGUCCGACGGUACAGGGUGAUAGUCCCGUACACCAAAAUGCACAGGUUGUGAACUCGAAGAGUAGGGCGGGACACGUGGUAUCCUGUCUGAAUAUGGGGACCAUCCUCCAAGGCUAAAUACUCCUGACUGACCGAUAGUGAACCAGUACCGUGAGGGAAAGGCGAAAAGAACCCCGGCGAGGGGAGUGAAAAAGAACCUGAAACCGUGUACGUACAAGCAGUGGGAGCACCUUCGGGUGUGACUGCGUACCUUUUGUAUAAUGGGUCAGCGACUUAUAUUCUGUAGCAAGGUUAACCGUAUAGGGGAGCCGCAGGGAAACCGAGUCUUAACUGGGCGUUAAGUUGCAGGGUAUAGACCCGAAACCCGGUGAUCAGCCAUGGGCAGGUUGAAGGUUGGGUAACACUAACUGGAGGACCGAACCGACUAAUGUUGAAAAAUUAGCGGAUGACUUGUGGCUGGGGUGAAAGGCCAAUCAAACCGGGAGAUAGCUGGUUCUCCCGAAAGCUAUUUAGGUAGCGCCUCGUGAAUUCAUCUUCGGGGUAGAGCACUGUUUCGGCUAGGGGGUCAUCCCGACUUACCAACCCGAUGCAAACUACGAAUACCGAAGAAUGUUAUCACGGGAGACACACGGCGGGUGCUAACGUCCGUCGUGAAGAGGGAAACAACCCAGACCGCCAGCUAAGGUCCCAAAGUCAUGGUUAAGUGGGAAACGAUGUGGGAAGGCACAGACAGCCGGGAUGUUGGCUUAGAAGCAGCCAUCAUUUAAAGAAAGCGUAAUAGCUCACUGGUCGAGUCGGCCUGCGCGGAAGAUGUAACGGGCUAAACCAUGCACCGAAGCUGCGGCAGCGACACUAUGUGUUGUUGGGUAGGGGAGCGUUCUGUAAGCCUGCGAAGGUGUGCUGUGAGGCAUGCUGGAGGUAUCAGAAGUGCGAAUGCUGACAUAAGUAACGAUAAAGCGGGUGAAAAGCCCGCUCGCCGGAAGACCAAGGGUUCCUGUCCAACGUUAAUCGGGGCAGGGUGAGUCGACCCUAAGGCGAGGCCGAAAGGCGUAGUCGAUGGGAAACAGGUUAAUAUUCCUGUACUUGGUGUUACUGCGAAGGGGACGGAGAAGGCUAUGUUAGCCGGGCGACGGUUGUCCCGGUUUAAGCAUGUAGGCUGGUUAUCCGUGCAAAUCCGGAUAAUCAAGGCUGAGGUGUGAUGACGAGGCACUACGGUGCUGAAGUAACAAAUGCCCUGCUUCCAGGAAAAGCCUCUAAGCAUCAGGUAACAUCAAAUCGUACCCCAAACCGACACAGGUGGUCAGGUAGAGAAUACCAAGGCGCUUGAGAGAACUCGGGUGAAGGAACUAGGCAAAAUGGUGCCGUAACUUCGGGAGAAGGCACGCUGGUGUGUAGGUGAAGUCCCUGCGGAUGGAGCUGAGACCAGUCGAAGAUACCAGCUGGCUGCAACUGUUUAUUAAAAACACAGCACUGUGCAAACACGAAAGUGGACGUAUACGGUGUGACGCCUGCCCGGUGCCGGAAGGUUAAUUGAUGGGGUUAUCCGUAAGGAGAAGCUCUUGAUCGAAGCCCCGGUAAACGGCGGCCGUAACUAUAACGGUCCUAAGGUAGCGAAAUUCCUUGUCGGGUAAGUUCCGACCUGCACGAAUGGCGUAAUGAUGGCUGUCUCCACCCGAGACUCAGUGAAAUUGAACUCGCUGUGAAGAUGCAGUGUACCCGCGGCAAGACGGAAAGACCCCGUGAACCUUUACUAUAGCUUGACACUGAACAUUGAGCCUUGAUGUGUAGGAUAGGUGGGAGGCUUUGAAGCGUGGACGCCAGUCUGCGUGGAGCCAACCUUGAAAUACCACCCUUUAAUGUUUGAUGUUCUAACGUUGGCCCUUACCGGGGUUGCGGACAGUGUCUGGUGGGUAGUUUGACUGGGGCGGUCUCCUCCCAAAGCGUAACGGAGGAGCACGAAGGUUAGCUAAUCCUGGUCGGACAUCAGGAGGUUAGUGCAAUGGCAUAAGCUAGCUUGACUGCGAGCGUGACGGCGCGAGCAGGUGCGAAAGCAGGUCAUAGUGAUCCGGUGGUUCUGAAUGGAAGGGCCAUCGCUCAACGGAUAAAAGGUACCCGGGAUAACAGGCUGAUACCGCCCAAGAGUUCAUAUCGACGGCGGUGUUUGGCACCUCGAUGUCGGCUCAUCACAUCCUGGGGCUGAAGUAGGUCCCAAGGGUAUGGCUGUUCGCCAUUUAAAGUGGUACGCGAGCUGGGUUUAGAACGUCGUGAGACAGUUCGGUCCCUAUCUGCCGUGGGCGCUGGAGAAUUGAGGGGGGCUGCUCCUAGUACGAGAGGACCGGAGUGGACGCAUCACUGGUGUUCGGGUUGUCAUGCCAAUGGCACUGCCCGGUAGCUAAAUGCGGAAGAGAUAAGUGCUGAAAGCAUCUAAGCACGAAACUUGCCCCGAGAUGAGUUCUCCCUGAGACUUUAAGUCUCCUGAAGGAACGUUGAAGACGACGACGUUGAUAGGCCGGGUGUGUAAGCGCAGCGAUGCGUUGAGCUAACCGGUACUAAUGAACCGUGAGGCUUAACCUUACAACGCCGAAG
RNAcentral lists this ribosomal RNA (2905 nucleotides) under Klebsiella pneumoniae. RNAcentral's name for it is "23S ribosomal RNA". It matches the Rfam family "Bacterial large subunit ribosomal RNA". Lineage: Bacteria; Pseudomonadati; Pseudomonadota; Gammaproteobacteria; Enterobacterales; Enterobacteriaceae. The record is from RNAcentral.